RNAcentral lists this ribosomal RNA (518 nucleotides) under Cestrus arcuatus. Its description in RNAcentral is "partial 16S large subunit ribosomal RNA". The stretch from base 389 to 518 matches the Rfam family "Archaeal large subunit ribosomal RNA", at positions 2542 to 2671 of the family's 2987-position model. Lineage: Eukaryota; Metazoa; Arthropoda; Insecta; Hymenoptera; Ichneumonidae. The record is from RNAcentral.
UGUCUUAUUGAUUUUAAUUUUAAGUCUGAUCUGCUCCAUGAUUUAUUAUAAAUUAAAUAGCUGCAGUAAUUUGACUGUACUAAGGUAGCAUAAUCAAUAGUUUUUUAAUUAAAAGCUAGAAUGAAGGAUUUGAUAAGGUAAAUAUUGUCUCAAUUUUAAUAAUAUUAAAAAUUUUUUUUUAGUAAAAAUACUAAAAUUAAUUUAAAAGACGAGAAGACCCUAUAGAUUUUUAUAUUUUAAAUUUAAUAGAUUAAAAUAUAAUUAGUUAUUAAAUUGAAUAAUAUUUGAUUGGGGAAAUUAUUAAAUUUAUAAAAUUUUAAUUUAUAAAAAACAAUAAUUAUUGAUUAUAAGAUCCUUUAUUUAAGAUAAAAGAUUAAAUUACCUUAGGGAUAACAGCGUAAUUUUUUUUGAGAGAUCUUAUUGAUAAAAAAGUUUGCGACCUCGAUGUUGAAUUAAGAUAAAAUUUUAAUGUAGAAGUUAAAAAUUUUUGGUCUGUUCGACCAUUAAAAUCUUACGUG